This 968-nucleotide ribosomal RNA is filed under the name Salmonella enterica. RNAcentral's name for it is "partial 23S ribosomal RNA". It matches the Rfam family "Bacterial large subunit ribosomal RNA", at positions 57 to 965 of the family's 2925-position model. Lineage: Bacteria; Pseudomonadati; Pseudomonadota; Gammaproteobacteria; Enterobacterales; Enterobacteriaceae. The record is from RNAcentral.
CGUGCUAAUCUGCGAUAAGCGCCGGUAAGGUGAUAUGAACCGUUAUAACCGGCGAUUUCCGAAUGGGGAAACCCAGUGUGACUCGUCACACUAUCAUUAACUGAAUCCAUAGGUUAAUGAGGCGAACCGGGGGAACUGAAACAUCUAAGUACCCCGAGGAAAAGAAAUCAACCGAGAUUCCCCCAGUAGCGGCGAGCGAACGGGGAGGAGCCCAGAGCCUGAAUCAGCAUGUGUGUUAGUGGAAGCGUCUGGAAAGGCGCGCGAUACAGGGUGACAGCCCCGUACACAAAAGCGCAUGUGCUGUGAGCUCGAUGAGUAGGGCGGGACACGUGGUAUCCUGUCUGAAUAUGGGGGGACCAUCCUCCAAGGCUAAAUACUCCUGACUGACCGAUAGUGAACCAGUACCGUGAGGGAAAGGCGAAAAGAACCCCGGCGAGGGGAGUGAAAAAGAACCUGAAACCGUGUACGUACAAGCAGUGGGAGCCCCACCACUAAGCCAGUGGUGAACUCCACAUACGCAUCCUUUGCUGAGGAUACGGUUAACGGAGCGAAAGCGACGUUCAACCGCAAAAGAAGCAGAGGGGGCUUAGUGGUGGGGUGACUGCGUACCUUUUGUAUAAUGGGUCAGCGACUUAUAUUCUGUAGCAAGGUUAACCGUAUAGGGGAGCCGAAGGGAAACCGAGUCUUAACUGGGCGUUAAGUUGCAGGGUAUAGACCCGAAACCCGGUGAUCUAGCCAUGGGCAGGUUGAAGGUUGGGUAACACUAACUGGAGGACCGAACCGACUAAUGUUGAAAAAUUAGCGGAUGACUUGUGGCUGGGGGUGAAAGGCCAAUCAAACCGGGAGAUAGCUGGUUCUCCCCGAAAGCUAUUUAGGUAGCGCCUCGUGAACUCAUCUUCGGGGGUAGAGCACUGUUUCGGCUAGGGGGUCAUCCCGACUUACCAACCCGAUGCAAACUGCGAAUACCG